CGUUCUUGCAAUGGGCAAAGAGACUCCUUGGUGGUGGUGGUGUUUUUAUAUCAGUCAGGGGCAGAGAAGAUGGCAGUUCAUCCUAGCUUGAUACCUGGCUUGGUGGCCAAAGCUAUUUUAUGCCUAGGACACGUAA
Molecule: small nucleolar RNA, 136 nt
Organism: Rattus norvegicus (Norway rat)
Lineage: Eukaryota; Metazoa; Chordata; Mammalia; Rodentia; Muridae
Product: small nucleolar RNA SNORA48
Source: Ensembl